ACCUCGGCAGUGUAGUGGUAGUAGGUGGCCCCCCAUAAGGGUGACACGCGGGUUCGAUCUCCCGCCCGAGGCA
Non-coding RNA from Parelaphostrongylus tenuis, 73 nucleotides. The record is from the annotation of a GenBank genome assembly. Lineage: Eukaryota; Metazoa; Nematoda; Chromadorea; Rhabditida; Metastrongylidae.